CUGCACCUCUUGAAGCUUGAAGAUCACCAUCUCUCUCUUUCUCGUUUUGUGUAAGACUCUUUAUAUGGAACUUUGCCUCUUGUAUUCUACAUUCAAAGAAGUAAUCUCUAAACCCUUUCUAAGUUU
This 126-nucleotide small RNA is filed under the name Arabidopsis thaliana (thale cress). RNAcentral describes it as "ATSL279750". The record is from RNAcentral. Lineage: Eukaryota; Viridiplantae; Streptophyta; Magnoliopsida; Brassicales; Brassicaceae.